RNAcentral lists this ribosomal RNA (958 nucleotides) under uncultured bacterium. Its description in RNAcentral is "bacterial SSU rRNA". It matches the Rfam family "Bacterial small subunit ribosomal RNA", at positions 38 to 989 of the family's 1533-position model. The record is from RNAcentral.
GGCGGCAGGCUUAACACAUGCAAGUCGAGCGGAAACGAUACCAGCUUGCUGGUAGGCGUCGAGCGGCGGACGGGUGAGUAACACUUAGGAAUCUACCUAGUAGUGGGGGAUAGCUCGGGGAAACUCGAAUUAAUACCGCAUACGACCUACGGGAGAAAGGGGGCAACUUGUUGCUCUCGCUAUUAGAUGAGCCUAAGUCGGAUUAGCUAGUUGGUGGGGUAAAGGCCUACCAAGGCGACGAUCUGUAGCUGGUCUGAGAGGAUGAUCAGCCACACCGGGACUGAGACACGGCCCGGACUCCUACGGGAGGCAGCAGUGGGGAAUAUUGGACAAUGGGGGCAACCCUGAUCCAGCCAUGCCGCGUGUGUGAAGAAGGCCUUUUGGUUGUAAAGCACUUUAAGCAGUGAAGAAGACCUAACGGUUAAUACCCGUUAGCGAUGACGUUAGCUGCAGAAUAAGCACCGGCUAACUCUGUGCCAGCAGCCGCGGUAAUACAGAGGGUGCAAGCGUUAAUCGGAAUUACUGGGCGUAAAGCGAGCGUAGGUGGCUUGAUAAGUCAGAUGUGAAAUCCCCGGGCUUAACCUGGGAACUGCAUCUGAUACUGUUAGGCUAGAAUAGGUGAGAGGAAGGUAGAAUUCCAGGUGUAGCGGUGAAAUGCGUAGAGAUCUGGAGGAAUACCGAUGGCGAAGGCAGCCUUCUGGCAUCAUAUUGACGCUGAGGUUCGAAAGCGUGGGUAGCAAACAGGAUUAGAUACCCUGGUAGUCCACGCCGUAAACGAUGUCUACUAGUCGUUGGGUCCCUUGAGGACUUAGUGACGCAGCUAACGCAAUAAGUAGACCGCCUGGGGAGUGCGGCCGCAAGGUUAAAACUCAAAUGAAUUGACGGGGGCCCGCACAAGCGGUGGAGCAUGUGGUUUAAUUCGAUGCAACGCGAAGAACCUUACCUGGUCUUGACAUAU